This 960-nucleotide ribosomal RNA is filed under the name bacterium SCS_04Z1_29. RNAcentral's name for it is "bacterial SSU rRNA". It matches the Rfam family "Bacterial small subunit ribosomal RNA", at positions 38 to 1031 of the family's 1533-position model. The record is from RNAcentral.
GGAAGGGUGGGCUUCACACCAUGCAGUCGAGCGAGACCUUCGGGUCUAGCGGCGGACGGGUGAGUAACGCGUGGGAAUGUGCCCUUCUCUACGGAAUAGUCCCGGGAAACUGGGUUUAAUACCGUAUACGCCCUUCGGGGGAAAGAUUUAUCGGAGAAGGAUCAGCCCGCGUCUGAUUAGGUAGUUGGUGGGGUAAUGGCCUACCAAGCCUACGAUCAGUAGCUGGUUUUAGAGGAUGAUCAGCCACACUGGGACUGAGACACGGCCCAGACUCCUACGGGAGGCAGCAGUGGGGAAUCUUAGACAAUGGGCGCAAGCCUGAUCUAGCCAUGCCGCGUGAGUGAUGAAGGCCUUAGGGUCGUAAAACUCUUUCGCCAGGGAUGAUAAUGACAGUACCUGGUAAAGAAGCCCCGGCUAACUCCGUGCCAGCAGCCGCGGUAAUACGGAGGGGGCUAGCGUUGUUCGGAAUUACUGGGCGUAAAGCGCGCGUAGGCGGACUAUUAAGUCAGGGGUGAAAUCCCGGGGCUCAACCCCGGAACUGCCCUUGAUACUGGUAGUCUUGAGUUCGAGAGAGGUGAGUGGAAUUCCGAGUGUAGAGGUGAAGUGCGUAGAUAUUCGGAGGAACAGCAGUGGCGAAGGCGUCUCACUGGCUCGAUACUGACGCUGAGGUGCGAAAGUGUGGGGAGCACACAGGAUUAGAUACCCUGGUAGUCCACACCGUACACGAUGAAUGCCAGUCGUCGGGAAGCAUGCUUGUCGGUGACACACCUAACGGAUUAAGCAUUGCAGUCUGGGGAGUACGGUCGCAAGGAUUAAAACUCAAAGGAAUUGACGGGGGGGCCCGGCAUAAGCGGCGGGAGCAUGUGGGUCUAAUUCGAAGCAUCGCGCAGAGCCGUGAUUAACCUUGGACAUCCUGUGCAACUCCGGAGAGCAUCGGACGAUUUCCCUUCGGGGACGCAG